UUAACUAUUAGAUAGUACUCAGACGACACAUGAUUCAGAAUUUAAGGUCCUUCGACACGCGCGAGCGUGCCUAAGGAACAAAGAUAUAAUACACAAGGGUGAGGUUUGCUACCCGUUAGGGCAGCUAACACUGUAAUGAUCCUUCCGCAGGUUCACCUACGGAAA
RNAcentral lists this unclassified non-coding RNA (165 nucleotides) under uncultured fungus. RNAcentral's name for it is "sequence contains ITS1". Lineage: Eukaryota; Fungi. The record is from RNAcentral.